AAGUGGGCCAUUUUUGGUAAGAAGAACUGGCGAUGCGGGAUGAACAGGAAGCCGGGUUACGGUGCCGGAUUGCGCGCUAACCCAGAACCCACAAAGGUGUUGGUCGAUUAAGACAGCAGGACGGUAGUCAUGGAAGUCAAAAUCCGCGAAGGAGUGUGUAACAACUCAGCUGCCGAAUCAACUAGACCCGAAAAUGGAUGGCGCUGAAGAGCGCGACCUACACCUGGCCAUAUUCAAACGAGAACUUUGAAGGCCGAAGAGGGGAAAUAUUCCAUGUGAACGACCCUUGUACAUGGGUUAGCCGAUCCUAAGGGACGGGGGAGGCCCAUCAUAGGCCGCGUCCGUGCGCGAGCUCUGAAAGGGAAUCUGGUUAAAAUUCCCUAGGAGGGAUGUGGCGGCUGACGGUGACGUUAGGGACUCUGGAGACGCCGGCGGGGGCCCCGUGGAGAGUUAUCUUUUCUGCUUAACCUCCCGCCCACCCUGGAAAUGGCUCAGCCAGAGGUAGGUCCAACAGCCGGAAGAGCACCGACCGUCGCGCGGUAUCCGGGGCGCCCUGGCGGCCCAUGAAAAUCCAAAGGAUCGAGUGCCGCCCAUGCCCGGUCGCACUCAUAACCGCUUCAGGUCUCCAAGGUGAACAGCCUCUGGCUGAUGGAAUAAUGUAGGCAAGGGAAGUCGGCAAAACGGAUCCAUAACUUCGGGAAAAGGAUUGGCUCUGAGGGCUGGGCACGUGGGUCCCGACCCAGAACCUAUCGGUUGUCGGCGGACUGCUCGAGCUGCGUCUGCGGCGAGAGCGGACCGCCGUGUGGCGGCCAGGGGACAGAACCGGAACGUCCCGCGCGCCACUCCUACGGCGCGGUGGACUUCCUCGGGCAUCGAACAUCCGACUCAGAACUUGUACGGACAAGGGGAAUCCGACUGUUUAAUUAAAACAAAGCAUUGCGAUGGUCCCCGUAGAUGCUCACGCAAUGUGAUUUCUGCCCAGUGCUCUGAAUGUCAAAGUCAAGAAAUUCAACCAAGCGCUGGUAAACGGCGGGAGUGACUAUGACUCUCUUAAGGUAGCCAAAUGCCUCGUUAUCUAAUUAGUGACGCACAUGAAUGGAUUAAAGAGAUUCCCACUGUCCCUAUCUACUAUCCAGCAAACCCACAGCCAAGGGAACGGGCUUGUCGGAAUCAGCGGGGAAAGAAGACCCUGUUGAGCUUGACUCUAGUCCGACUUUGUGAAAUGACUUGAGAGGUGUAGGAUAAGUGGGAUCCCU
Molecule: ribosomal RNA, 1256 nt
Filed under: Dioscorea cayenensis subsp. rotundata (Guinea yam)
Lineage: Eukaryota; Viridiplantae; Streptophyta; Magnoliopsida; Dioscoreales; Dioscoreaceae
Description: eukaryotic LSU rRNA
Rfam family: Eukaryotic large subunit ribosomal RNA
Source: RNAcentral